RNAcentral lists this ribosomal RNA (253 nucleotides) under uncultured bacterium. RNAcentral describes it as "partial 16S ribosomal RNA". It matches the Rfam family "Bacterial small subunit ribosomal RNA", at positions 524 to 776 of the family's 1533-position model. The record is from RNAcentral.
UACGUAGGGGCCUAGCGUUGUCCGGAUUUACUGGGCGUAAAGAGCGCGCAGGCGGUCGUUCAAGUCGAGUGUGAAAGCCCCCGGCUCAACUGGGGAGGGUCACUCGAUACUGAUCGACUCGAAGGCAGAAGAGGGAAGCGGAAUUCCCGGUGUAGUGGUGAAAUGCGUAGAUAUCGGGAGGAACACCAGUGGCGAAGGCGGCUUUCUGGUCUGCUCUUGACGCUGAGGCGCGAAAGCUAGGGUAGCAAACGGG